This 551-nucleotide ribosomal RNA is filed under the name uncultured bacterium. RNAcentral's name for it is "bacterial SSU rRNA". It matches the Rfam family "Bacterial small subunit ribosomal RNA", at positions 772 to 1327 of the family's 1533-position model. The record is from RNAcentral.
ACAGGAUUAGAUACCCUGGUAGUCCACGCAGUAAACGAUGAUUACUGGCUGUUUGCGAUACAAUGUAAGCGGCUGAGCGAAAGCGUUAAGUAAUCCACCUGGGGAGUACGUUCGCAAGAAUGAAACUCAAAGGAAUUGACGGGGGCCCGCACAAGCGGAGGAACAUGUGGUUUAAUUCGAUGAUACGCGAGGAACCUUACCCGGGCUUGAAAUGCGGUGGACCGGCGGAGAGAUCCGCCCUCCCUUCGGGGCCACCGUGUAGGUGCUGCAUGGUUGUCGUCAGCUCGUGCCGUGAGGUGUCGGCUUAAGUGCCAUAACGAGCGCAACCCUCAUCAUUAGUUACUAACAGGUAAAGCUGAGGACUCUAAUGAGACUGCCAUCGUAAGAUGCGAGGAAGGUGGGGAUGACGUCAAAUCAGCACGGCCCUUACGUCCGGGGCGACACACGUGUUACAAUGGGUGGUACAAAGGGCAGCUACCUGGCGACAGGAUGCCAAUCCCCAAAACCACUCUCAGUUCGGAUCGGAGUCUGCAACUCGACUCCGUGAAGCU